UGAUUUUGUCAUCAACAAGGCAAAUACCCUGGUUUUCAGAAUGGGAGGCCUAGAAGAUGCUGGAAGGUACCACCAUCUUUGUUGGGAAGGGAAUGCGAUGACGAGCUGGAAGGUUCCUGUUCUCGUCUGUAAAAUGACUGUUUGAAGGUGAAAAACAUCCAUGUUUUCUUCAGCACCGAGUCAGUCUAUGACAGUGGCUCUCAGCCCUGGUGAUUGGCCCCCAAGGGACAUUUGGAGACGUUGAUUGUCAAGACUUGGUGUGGGCACUGGAUUUUAAUGGGUGAAGCCUAGACAUUUUAACGGGUGAAGACAACAUGAUGUUUGUGCUGCUAAACACCCUACGGUGUGUGGGACAGCCCCAUCACGGAGAGUGGACAGAGCCAGCGUAUCAUAUGCUAAGGUUGAGGAGCCCUGGUCUAAUGAUAGGAGCAAUUCAAGAUCUGUCUUCACUGCCUUCACAGAGAGCCAUGUCUUUCAGAAAAUGUGCUGGAUUAGUCUCAAGGACCAUUUUUUUCAGAGGCUUAUUUUUAAAUCUGUUCAGAGGAGUGGGGAAGACCCAUUCAGAAGAGUUAUUUCACAAACACGUGGCAAUUAUCAGUGCAGAUUUCUUGUUAAGGUUCCCUAGCAAUGACUGUAUUUCCCCAGUAGAAAUGGGGUGUGUGUGCUGCUGCACAUCACAGGCAGAUGUGGGAGACCCUGUUUGUUUUGUGGCAGUGGGAACAGUCGCAAUUUUAGAGAGGACUUAUUGAGGGGCAUUUGUUACUUUAAACAAUUUAGUGCCAUACAAAGGAUUAGACAGAGCUCCUGAAGGGGGAAUCUCCCUCAUUUUCAGGGUGUUAACUACAGAGGAGUUGAGGGAAGGGGCCAUGGAGGGAACUGACUGAGACAGGUAGAGCAUCUACCGCCCAAAAGUCAAAGCAAAGACAGGGUUAGAAGGACCCAGCUGGGCAUUUUCUGCUCUUGAAUCUGCAGAGAGUGUCAUUAGGCCAAAAUUGGCAUCCUCUCUCUUCUGUUUAUCAGAAACCACCUUCUCAUUUGUUGUCCUUCAUUUUAAACAGGGCAGACCUCCUUAUGCUGCUUCAGCAGAAGAAGUGGCCAAAGAACUUAAGUCAAAAUCUGGGGAAUCGAAGUCCUCUGCUAUGUCUUCAGACGGGUCCCUGGCUGAAAACGGAGUGAUGGCCGAGGAGAAGCCGGCUCCCCAGAUGAACGGGAGCACGGGUGACGCCAGGGCCCCCAGCCACUCUGAAAGUGCCUUGAAUAAUGACUCUAAAACGUGCAAUACAAAUCCUCAUUUAAAUGCACUAAGUACAGACAGCGCUUGCCGCAGAGAAGCUGCUCUGGAGGCAGCUGUCUUAAAUAAAGAAGAGUAAACUUAUUUUUUAUAGAGGGUGAAGGAUGCUGGAAGGGUAAGGAUUUAGGAAUAUCUGGAGAGAAAGAGAGCCUGCAGUUAUGUACAUUUUGUCCUUUCCGUAAGAGAAAAAUGAGGACUUUGGAAAUUCAGAUCCCUCUUUGAUAUCAGAGAUUUAAACAACACAUUUUUAGUUUUAACCAGUUGUAGUCAAAAUGCUACAAUAAAACAAAAAAGAGAAAGAAAAUGAAGAGCAUUUGACUCCCGCACUUAAAAUGAAGUACACAUAAAGUUUAAACUGGUUAUGACAAAAGCCUUUAGUUGUGUUUCUUGAACUAUAAAGAAAACAAAUUUUGGCAGUCUUUAAGUAUAUAUAGCUUAAAAUAUAAUUUUUAGCAUUUGGCACCAUAUGUAUGCCAUUAUAUUUGAUUUUGCAUUACUGUUUCACAAUGAAGCUUUCUUUAAGGCUUUGAUUUUUAUGAUUAUGAAAGAAAUAAGGCACAACCACAGUUUUUCUUUCUUAAAUUUCAUCACUGUUGAUGUGGUUCUUUUGUGUUAAAAAAAAAAAGUGCAACUAUCAAAACUAAAAAAUUAUAGAGUAAUAUUGCCGUUCUGCUGAUUUUAAAUAUACAAUACAUCAUACAUACUUUACAAGCAAGUUAAAUGGAGAUAAAGUUGAAAUCAUAGAAGAUGCAAAUGACCUUUCAAAAUCAACACAAUGUGUUCUGAAACUUUCGUGACUAAUACCAUGCAUCUGUGAUCAAUGAACUAUGUGGUUUUGAAUCGGAUGUAGACCAUUAGUACUACUACUUGAGCUAAACUUCUGCAUGGUUCAUAAUUUUUAAAGUGUGUAGUUAAUAUGCAUGUUAUCGUCCUUUCUUCCAUUCUUAACAGUAUGUGCCCAUUUGCAAAACAAAAAUGCUAAUAAUCAGUAAUAGUCCUAUAAAAGAUGUUAACUCUGUUUAGUCAUUGACUGAUCUUGCUCUAACCUUAAAAUUUUGUGAUUAUUGACCUCUGUUGCAUUUAUUCUAAAGCCCCCCAAAAAUUAUCUAGCCGUUUCGAAUAUCAACAUUACCCUGGUGUAUUCACUGCUGUAUGCAUUAUUGUUCUUUGUUGCUGUUUUAUGCCUUCAUAUUAGCAAAUAUGAAAUUCUGUGAAAAAAAACCCUUUGAUCUUAAAAAAAAAAAA
Molecule: long non-coding RNA, 2536 nt
Filed under: Homo sapiens (human)
Lineage: Eukaryota; Metazoa; Chordata; Mammalia; Primates; Hominidae
Description: HBVPTPAP
Source: RNAcentral